This is a long non-coding RNA of Nilaparvata lugens (brown planthopper), 979 nucleotides long. RefSeq lists it as uncharacterized. The record is from RefSeq and is a predicted model, not a curated record. The transcript has 2 exons. NCBI's taxonomy places the organism in Eukaryota, Metazoa, Arthropoda, Insecta, Hemiptera, Delphacidae.
CGUCUACAACGCACUGUUGAUGAUAUAAUAGACCUUUUGCGCUAAUUUUAAUCCAGAUAUAGGGACUUUGAAAUAAAUUUGACUAAUUUUCAAGUUUCCCAAAAAUGUUCAAAAAACAGUCUUUUAUGACUAAUUCGGCUGUAGAAGUGAAUUUCCAGCAUUUUUUCUGUAUGCAAAAAUCCCGUCAAACGUGCCGUUGACGGGCUACUGACGUUUAAAAUUUUGAAAUUAUGCUAAUUGAUGAUGGAAAAUUCUGAAAAAAAUCAUGUACGUUUCUGUUUAUAUUAUCAACAUUGUCCUAAAAUCUCAAAUGAUUCUAUCCAAAAUUGAAUAAGUUAUAUCAUUUUUUCCAAUUGGAUUUUUGUUUAUGCUCGAAAUCAUGCCAUUUAUAAAAUAACACACCAAGACUUUGAAAUCAUUUUCAGGUUUUCAAUUCGAAAUAUGAUAACCACUUUUAUUAUAUUGAUUCCAACAAUUUAAAGUGUCAAUCACAAACCACUCAUGUGGCUUCACUUAAAUUAUGCUUAAUAUUAUGUAAAUUAUUCUAAAAACACGGAAUCUAUGAAUUAACUUAUUCUGCAAUAUUCAAACAUCGCGCAAAAUUGUAUUCAAGCAUGCGCAAUGAAACAACUCAACUCGAAGAAAAUAACCUCCAUUUUAUAGCUGUGUUUUAUAGAUGUGUUGUGUUUGUGUUCAUCUUGUAAUUUUUGUGAUCUCUAUCCGUUGAAUGAUUGAAAGGUGCAGUGUGGAACAUCAAGUCUACUUCCAGUGCCCCAAAUGAAGAAAUCCAGUUAAUAAUCCGAAAUUGGUUUUGAUUCUCCAAAGACCGUGAUGGAGGUCAAGAAAAACGGAGAAAUGAUCCAGCACCCAAUCACAUGUAACUAGGCCAAGUGCCAAUAAGUAAAUUUUUAGUGAAUCUCAAACAUCCAUAAUCUCUUUUGUAAUGAUUUUACAAUAUACAGACUUUUCAUGCAUUUAA